GCUAAGCAGAGGGAAUCGAGUUAGCCAUCACGAUGAAGAGUUGGACAAUUCUAGCCUUGCUGGUCGCAAUCUGUGCUGUGUUUCUUGGUGUUGGACACACUGAAGAAACUGCAGAUGAUUUCAGAGAAACAGUUUUGGAAGAUGCCUAUAGUGACACUGAAAAUGAUGCGCAACUCCUUACUUUUAUUAGAAAUUUUCCUUAUUUUUAAUUUAGAAAUUUUCAAUUUAAUACAACUUAAGAUAUUGAGUUGGGGGGAGGCUUAUUAGGCCUACUGCAUGGGCUUCCAGGAAGAACAGUUCAGAAAUUAUAGAUUACCCAGUAUAAAUAAAGUUAGUUUAGUUUAGGUUUCCUCCUGUUGUAACACUGGACAAAUAAAGGAUGGCUCUGCUUGCUGAACCUCUGCAGUUUAGAGAUAGUAUAUGAAAACACAUAUAUGUAUAAUAUCCAGUGUAAUUUAAUUAAAUAUUAAAAAUGAUCGUUUUAACCAUAGACAUCUUAUAUACACUAGAUAGCGCAUUUCUUUUAGUAAAAUUGAAGCCAAGAAUAUUCCAGCGGUUACCCCCAUUUGAAUAGAUGGCGGCCAUGUCGGUCGUUCCCACUCGCUAAUAAACGCUUAAAAACAACAAUAACUUUCAUCAUUUCAAUAGUUUAAAAAUGUAUUUGGAAUAGGUUUAACUUAAUGUUUAAGUUCCCUGUUUAAGAAAUAGAAAACAUACGAAUCUUCUCAUUUCAUGGGAAUAUCCUGAGUCUGCAAUCACGGCUUCAAUUUUUGAAUUGUAGAAUAAUUAGAUGCACUAUCUAGUGUAUGUAAGAUAUAUCUAUGGUUUUAACAGUUAAAGUAUUUUCAUUUUUGCAGGGCAGAUUCAUUCAUGAAUCCAGAAAAUGAUGAUGACGACAACGAUGAUGGUAAUGGCGAUGAUGAAUCGUAAGUAAAAAUAUCUAUUACUGUUCUACACUCGACACUACAUGGGUAAAUAUCUACAUUUUGGAGCUUCUCGUUCGAUAGGACUAAUAGUACAUUUUUGUAGAUGGAAUAUUCGAACGUAAAUUUGUAUUCAUUUUUGUAUCUGCGCGGAGCGCUAGAUACCAGAGAUAUUAGAGAGGUUAAGAUACCCCGGUUCCGGUUUACGGGUACGAGUAUCGCCAUUUUGUUUACCAAUUUUUGCUGAUGUCAGCAAUUUUACCCGUAAUUUCUACCCGUUUCCCCGCGGUAAACCGGGGUCUACACGUAAAUGACAAACGGGUACGGGUGGUUUCUGUUUACUAUUUUUGGGCCGUUUAAAUAGUACAAAUUUUCAGCAUCUUACCCCAAUAAAUAAUGCACAUAUGCUCGUCAAAGUUUUCAACAAUUUACGACGAACCUCAACAGCGAAAGUUGCCAUUCUUUGAUCGGUUUUCUCACGCCGGAGUAUCUUGGAUUUCUUAAGUUACAAGUUAUUCCCCGAUUUACGGGUACGGGUACGUGUAUAUCACCCGUACCCGUAAACCGGAAUCGGGGUAUCUUAACCUCUCUACUAUGCUAUCGAGUUUGUGCGUUAAACACUCAGGUCGACUAAUUAGGGCUGUAUGCCUGCGAACAGGCCGUAAAACAAAGAUGGCGGCUUUCUACAGAGUGACGAUUGUUUUAUCCUAGAAGAUUAAUUUAUUUAUUUCGCCCAAUCAUUAUGGUAAUUAUUUACAUAAAAGUAUUAAAGCUACAACUUUAAAUAGGGCAAGGAGUCUAAAGAAACCUUCAUAGGCUUUUAAGGUAAGGCCCUAAUUUAAUGUCCAGUGCAAAGUUUUAUAUUGUGUCAAUCAGUGCCAGUAAAAGUAUUUACAAGAAUAUGAAGAUUAAACAAUAUUGCUUUCACUAGUAAGAAUAAAGUACAUAAGAAGGAGAAAAUUUGGAGAGCUAUAAAGACAUAAUCUGUUAAUUACAUGAAUAUGAAUUAGACUUCCUUGUUUAAAAUAUAAGUUCACUAGAUUGUAUUGACAAUGUCAAUUAUGUAUUUUCGAUUUUUUUUAAAGAUUGGUAGUGAUGUUAUUUUUGUCAAGCUAACAUCAAGAUUAUUCCGAACAUCCACUCCUUUCACUGAGAGUGAGUGCUUAGUAUAAUUAGUUCAAUGGCAAUGCAUAUGAAGUUUCGACGAGUUUCGGGUACUGUAUUACUAUUGGUGAAUUUGGCUAUUUGCCAUAAAAAAUUCGUAAAUGAAUGUGGC
This is a non-coding RNA of Paramuricea clavata, 2199 nucleotides long. NCBI's taxonomy places the organism in Eukaryota, Metazoa, Cnidaria, Anthozoa, Malacalcyonacea, Plexauridae. The record is from the annotation of a GenBank genome assembly.